This 465-nucleotide ribosomal RNA is filed under the name uncultured bacterium. Its description in RNAcentral is "partial 16S ribosomal RNA". It matches the Rfam family "Bacterial small subunit ribosomal RNA", at positions 28 to 507 of the family's 1533-position model. The record is from RNAcentral.
GACGAACGCUGGCGGCGUGCUUAACACAUGCAAGUCGAACGGAAAGGCCCCUUCGUGGGUACUCGAGUGGCGAACAGGUGAGUAACACGUGAGUAACCUGCCCUUGACUUCGGGAUAACUUCAGGAAACUGGGGCUAAUACCGGAUAGGAAUCCUUGCUGCAUGGUGGGGGUUGGAAAGCUUCGGCGGUUUUUGAUGGACUCGCGGCUUAUCAGCUUGUUGGUGGGGUAGUGGCUUACCAAGGCUUUGACGGGUAGCCGGACUGAGAGGGCGACCGGCCACAGUGGGACUGAGAUGCGGCCCCGACUCCUACGGGAGGGAGAAGUGGGGAAGAUUGCACAAUGGGCGGAAGCCGGAUGCAGCAACGCCGCGUGCGGGAUGACGGCCUUAGGGUUGUAAAACGCUUUCAGCAGGGGCGAAGCUUGUGGUGACGGUACCUGCAGAAGAAGCACCGGCUAACUACGUG